AUUGGGCCUAAAACGUCCGUAGCCGGCUUGGUUAAUUCCUGGGUAAAUCGUACCGCUCAACGGUGCGGAUUCCGGGGACACUGCCAGGCUUGAGACCGGGGGAGAUCAGAGGUACUUGCGGGGGAGCGGUGAAAUGUUGUAAUCCCGCAGGGACCACCAAUGGCGAAGGCAUCUGAUCAAAACGGCUCUGACGGUGAGGGACGAAACCCUGGGGCGCAAACGGGAUUAGAUACCCCGGUAGUCCAGGGCGUAAACGCUGCUGACUUGGUGUUGGAGGUCCUGCGAGGGCGUCCAGUGCCGGCACGAAGGUAUUGAGUCAGCCGCCUGGGGAGUACGGUCGCAAGACUGAAACUUAAAGGAAUUGGC
This 366-nucleotide ribosomal RNA is filed under the name uncultured archaeon. RNAcentral's name for it is "bacterial SSU rRNA". It matches the Rfam family "Archaeal small subunit ribosomal RNA", at positions 503 to 869 of the family's 1478-position model. The record is from RNAcentral.